RNAcentral lists this long non-coding RNA (231 nucleotides) under Nicotiana benthamiana. RNAcentral's name for it is "long non-coding RNA (NBEN_LNC041310)". The record is from RNAcentral. Lineage: Eukaryota; Viridiplantae; Streptophyta; Magnoliopsida; Solanales; Solanaceae.
GGCAGUCUCAAGCUGUGUAGAUCCUGUUGAUCCAGAGUUCUUACAGCAGGAGUAUUUGAUGUAGAUGAAGGCGUUCGCAGCUGAAGAUUCUCCCUUCUAUCCCUAUCCUUUUAUUUUGCAUUUAUUAGUUUUAGACAGACUUUGUAGUAGGAUCUUACUCUGUACUUUUAAGGAUCAUGUUCGUGACACAGUGUCCUAGUUUGGCUGUAUUAGUAUUUCGUUCGAUUUCCC